RNAcentral lists this long non-coding RNA (543 nucleotides) under Homo sapiens (human). Its description in RNAcentral is "HSALNT0103636". Lineage: Eukaryota; Metazoa; Chordata; Mammalia; Primates; Hominidae. The record is from RNAcentral.
CUGGAGCUGUGGUCGCUGCUGUAAUGUGGAGGAAGAAGAGCUCAGAUAGAAAAGGAGGGAGCUACUCUCAGGCUGCAAGCAGCAACAGUGCCCAGGGCUCUGAUGUGUCUCUCACGGCUUGAAAGUGUGAGACAGCUGCCUUGUGUGGGACUGAGAGGCAAGAGUUGUUCCUGCCCUUCCCUUUGUGACUUGAAGAACCCUGACUUUGUUUCUGCAAAGGCACCUGCAUGUGUCUGUGUUCGUGUAGGCAUAAUGUGAGGAGGUGGGGAGACCACCCCACCCCCAUGUCCACCAUGACCCUCUUCCCACGCUGACCUGUGCUCCCUCCCCAAUCAUCUUUCCUGUUCCAGAGAGGUGGGGCUGAGGUGUCUCCAUCUCUGUCUCAACUUCAUGGUGCACUGAGCUGUAACUUCUUCCUUCCCUAUUAAAAUUAGAACCUUAGUAUAAAUUUACUUUCUCAAAUUCUUGCCAUGAGAGGUUGAUGAGUUAAUUAAAGGAGAAGAUUCCUAAAAUUUGAGAGACAAAAUAAAUGGAAGACAUGAG